This is a long non-coding RNA of Ananas comosus (pineapple), 1114 nucleotides long. RefSeq lists it as uncharacterized. Lineage: Eukaryota; Viridiplantae; Streptophyta; Magnoliopsida; Poales; Bromeliaceae. The transcript has 2 exons. The record is from RefSeq and is a predicted model, not a curated record.
GUCCAGCCGAUCGACGCGGCACGCGCGUAGAGCUUCUUCGAUGCGUCGUUUGCAAAUUGCAAGCAAGGUCGUAUUGCUUUUUCUUUCUUUCUUUCUUUCUUUCUUUCUUUCUUUCUUCUUCUUCUCCCUCUCCUCCCUGUUUUCUAGCUCUACUGGCAGCAGUGCCUAGCGCAGCAGCCGCAGCUGCUGGCGCAAUAGCUAGCAGCCGCAGCCGGCACAACAGCCAGAAACAGCUGCUGGCUGCAACACCUACUGCUGGAGAAGCAGCCAGCAGAAGCAGCGAGCAGCAGCCGCAGCAGCUAGCCGCAAUGACUGUAACGGUGGAUUUUUUCGCUAGGUAGCAAUAGGAAAAAGACGGAAGGGUUUAAUUGCGCGAGAUGGGAGCCUUUAAUUGUAAAACUGAUGCUUGCAGUUUGGAUUAAAUUGGAUGCAAUCAAAGCCUCAAUUUUGAAAUUGAGGUUCAGUUGCAGGAAAAGGGGUAGUAAAAGCUCAAUUUCCAUCUUCCACCUACUUGGGAUUUCAGGUGUUAAUUGUUUGGAAUCGAGUAAAUUUAGAAUUUGAGUUGAUUUGUAAGUAAUAUAUAGUGGAAUUUUGUUAUCUGAAAUUGUGGCUGCAAAAUUGAGCUCUUGUUGGUGUUCUACCGAGGGAGAGGAAUUUGUGGACGCUAUGACCUGAAAUUACAAGGACGGCAGGAAUUUCGUUAAGUUUCUUAACUCCAAAUCCUGAUAGGAAGCUUCUUCCGUGCUGAUUUGCGGCACUUCCUUGACUAAUUCCGGCUGGAAUUUCGAUUGACAAGAGGUGGACUUGUGGCCGGGCCCUUACCGUGGUUGGAAUAGCUAGCGAGGUGGGUUACCAGUCGUCGAAAAUGACAAAUUUUCUUCUGUCUAUUUAUAUGCAUAUGCAUAUGUAUGUGAUCAUAUGUAUUGAUAAAGGGCUUUGUUAGCAUGGAAUUGAGUGGAACAAUGGAUUUCUAUCAUGUGUGUCUGUGAGUCAUGAUUUAUGUACAAACAGUAAGUCCACUAGGAAUGACAUAUAAUCUUCUCGACAUAUUGACCUAAUGAUCAAAAGAUUUUAAAAUUUAUAAUUUUAAUAGUCGAUAUGAGGAGUUUUCUCA